Molecule: ribosomal RNA, 460 nt
Filed under: uncultured bacterium
Lineage: Bacteria
Description: partial 16S ribosomal RNA
Rfam family: Bacterial small subunit ribosomal RNA
Source: RNAcentral
CCUACGGGAGGCAGCAGUGAGGAAUAUUGGUCAAUGGGCGCAACCCUGAACCAGCCAAGUAGCGUGAAGGAUGACUGCCCUACGGGUUGUAAACUUCUUUUAUACAGGAAUAAAGUGAGGCACGUGUGGCUUAUUGUAUGUAUUUUAUGAAUAAGGAUCGGCUAGCUCCGUGCCAGCAGCCGCGGUAAUACGGAGGCUCCGGGCGUUAUCCGGAUUUAUUGGGUUUAAAGGGAGCGUAGAUGGGUUGUUAAGUCAGGUGUGAAAAGUUGCGGCUCAACCGUAACAUUGCAGUUGAGACUGGUAGCCUUGAGUACGGGUGAGGUAGGUGGAAUUCGUGGUGUAGCGGUGAAAUGCUUAGAGAUCACGAAGAACGCUGAUUGCGAAGGCAGCCUACUAAACCGUAACUGACGCUGAGGCUCGAAAGUGUGGGUAUCAAACAGGAUUAGAUACCCUGGUAGUC